Molecule: ribosomal RNA, 493 nt
Filed under: uncultured bacterium
Lineage: Bacteria
Description: bacterial SSU rRNA
Rfam family: Bacterial small subunit ribosomal RNA
Source: RNAcentral
CUACGUGCCAGCAGCCGCGGUAAUACGUAGGGCGCGAGCGUUGUCCGGAAUUAUUGGGCGUAAAGGGCUUGUAGGCGGUUGGUCGCGUCUGCCGUGAAAUUCUCUGGCUUAACUGGGGGCGUGCGGUGGGUACGGGCUGACUUGAGUGCGGUAGGGGAGACUGGAACUCCUGGUGUAGCGGUGGAAUGCGCAGAUAUCAGGAAGAACACCGGUGGCGAAGGCGGGUCUCUGGGCCGUUACUGACGCUGAGGAGCGAAAGCGUGGGGAGCGAACAGGAUUAGAUACCCUGGUAGUCCACGCUGUAAACGUUGGGCACUAGGUGUGGGGGCCACCCGUGGUUUCUGCGCCGUAGCUAACGCUUUAAGUGCCCCGCCUGGGGAGUACGGCCGCAAGGCUAAAACUCAAAUGAAUUGACGGGGGCCCGCACAAGCGGUGGAGCAUGUGGUUUAAUUCGAUGCAACGCGAAGAACCUUACCUACUCUUGACAUCCAGA